CGCUGGCGGCGUGCCUAAUACAUGCAAGUCGAGCGCGGGAAGCGGACAAUCACCCUUCGGGUGUGCGUCCGUGGAACGAGCGGCGGAUGGGUGAGUAUCACGUGGGCAACCUGCCUGUAAGAUUGGGAUAACUCGCGGAAACGUGAGCUAAUACCGAAUGAAGUCUUUCACCGCCUGGUGAAAGGAUGAAAGAUGGCUCUUGAGCUAUCACUUACAGAUGGGCCCGCGGCGCAUUAGCUAGUUGGUGGGGUAAAGGCCUACCAAGGCGACGAUGCGUAGCCGACCUGAGAGGGUGAUCGGCCACACUGGGACUGAGACACGGCCCAGACUCCUACGGGAGGCAGCAGUAGGGAAUCUUCCGCAAUGGACGAAAGUCUGACGGAGCAACGCCGCGUGAGUGAAUGAAGGUCUUCGGAUCGUAAAACUCUGUUGUCAGGGAAGGACAAGUUGUGUUCUAACAGGACAUGACCUUGACGGUACCUGACCAGAAAGCCCCGGCUAACUACGUGCCAGCAGCAGC
Molecule: ribosomal RNA, 520 nt
Filed under: uncultured bacterium
Lineage: Bacteria
Description: bacterial SSU rRNA
Rfam family: Bacterial small subunit ribosomal RNA
Source: RNAcentral